UCCAGACUCCUACGGGAGGCAGCAGUGGGGGAUAUUGCACAAUGGGGGAAACCCUGAUGCAGCGACGCCGCGUGAGUGAAGAAGUAUUUCGGUAUGUAAAGCUCUAUCAGCAGGGAAGAAAAAAGACGGUACCUGACUAAGAAGCCCCGGCUAACUACGUGCCAGCAGCCGCGGUAAUACGUAGGGGGCAAGCGUUAUCCGGAUUUACUGGGUGUAAAGGGAGCGUAGACGGCAAUACAAGUCGGAAGUGAAAUACCCGGGCGCAACCUGGGAACUGCUUUGGAAACUGUAUGGCUGGAGUGCUGGAGAGGUAAGCGGAAUUCCUAGUGUAGCGGUGAAAUGCGUAGAUAUUAGGAGGAACACCAGUGGCGAAGGCGGCUUACUGGACAGUAACUGACGUUGAGGCUCGAAAGCGUGGGGAGCAAACAGGAUUAGAUACCCCAGUAU
This 447-nucleotide ribosomal RNA is filed under the name uncultured bacterium. Its description in RNAcentral is "bacterial SSU rRNA". It matches the Rfam family "Bacterial small subunit ribosomal RNA", at positions 330 to 793 of the family's 1533-position model. The record is from RNAcentral.